AGAGUUUGAUCCUGGCUCAGGACGAACGCUGGCGGCGUGCCUAAUACAUGCAAGUAGAACGCUGAAGGAGGAGCUUGCUUCUCUGGAUGAGUUGCGAACGGGUGAGUAACGCGUAGGUAACCUGCCUGGAAGCGGGGGGUAACUAUUGGAAACGAUAGCUAAUACCGCAUAAGAGUGGAUGUUGCAUGACAUUUGCUUAAAAGGUGCACUUGCAUCACUACCAGAUGGACCUGCGUUGUAUUAGCUAGUUGGUGGGGUAACGGCUCACCAAGGCGACGAUACAUAGCCGACCUGAGAGGGUGAUCGGCCACACUGGGACUGAGACACGGCCCAGACUCCUACGGGAGGCAGCAGUAGGGAAUCUUCGGCAAUGGACGGAAGUCUGACCGAGCAACGCCGCGUGAGUGAAGAAGGUUUUCGGAUCGUAAAGCUCUGUUGUAAGAGAAGAACGAGUGUGAGAGUGGAAAGUUCACACUGUGACGGUAUCUUACCAGAAAGGGACGGCUAACUACGUGCCAGCAGCCGCGGUAAUACGUAGGUCCCGAGCGUUGUCCGGAUUUAUUGGGCGUAAAGCGAGCGCAGGCGGUUAGAUAAGUCUGAAGUUAAAGGCUGUGGCUUAACCAUAGUAGGCUUUGGAAACUGUUUAACUUGAGUGCAAGAGGGGAGAGUGGAAUUCCAUGUGUAGCGGUGAAAUGCGUAGAUAUAUGGAGGAACACCGGUGGCGAAAGCGGCUCUCUGGCUUGUAACUGACGCUGAGGCUCGAAAGCGUGGGGAGAAAACAGGAUUAGAUACCCUGGUAGUCCACGCUGUAAACGAUGAGUGCUAGGUGUUAGACCCUUUCCGGGGUUUAGUGCCGUAGCUAACGCAUUAAGCACUCCGCCUGGGGAGUACGACCGCAAGGUUGAAACUCAAAGGAAUUGACGGGGGCCCGCACAAGCGGUGGAGCAUGUGGUUUAAUUCGAAGCAACGCGAAGAACCUUACCAGGUCUUGACAUCCCUCUGACCGCUCUAGAGAUAGAGCUUUCCUUCGGGACAGAGGUGACAGGUGGUGCAUGGUUGUCGUCAGCUCGUGUCGUGAGAUGUUGGGUUAAGUCACGCAACGAGCGCAACCCCUAUUGUUAGUUGCCAUCAUUUAGUUGGGCACUCUAGCGAGACUGCCGGUAAUAAACCGGAGGAAGGUGGGGAUGACGUCAAAUCAUCAUGCCCCUUAUGACCUGGGCUACACACGUGCUACAAUGGCUGGUACAACGAGUCGCAAGCCGGUGACGGCAAGCUAAUCUCUUAAAGCCAGUCUCAGUUCGGAUUGUAGGCUGCAACUCGCCUACAUGAAGUCGGAAUCGCUAGUAAUCGCGGAUCAGCACGCCGCGGUGAAUACGUUCCCGGGCCUUGUACACACCGCCCGUCACACCACGAGAGUUUGUAACACCCGAAGUCGGUGAGGUAACCGUAAGGAGCCAGCCGCCUAAGGUGGGAUAGAUGAUUGGGGUGAAGUCGUAACAAGGUAGCCGUAUCGGAAGGUGCGGCUGGAUCACCU
This 1534-nucleotide ribosomal RNA is filed under the name Streptococcus pneumoniae. RNAcentral's name for it is "bacterial SSU rRNA". It matches the Rfam family "Bacterial small subunit ribosomal RNA". Lineage: Bacteria; Bacillati; Bacillota; Bacilli; Lactobacillales; Streptococcaceae. The record is from RNAcentral.